CACCAAUGGCGAAGGCAGCCCCCCUGGGUCGAUACUGACGCUCAUGCACGAAAGCGUGGGUAGCAAACAGGAUUAGAUACCCUGGUAGUCCACGCCCUAAACGAUGUCAACUAGGUGUUGGGUGGGUAAAACCAUUUAGUACCGUAGCUAACGCGUGAAGUUGACCGCCUGGGGAGUACGGCCGCAAGGUUAAAACUCAAAGGAAUUGACGGGGACCCGCACAAGCGGUGGAUGAUGUGGAUUAAUUCGAUGCAACGCGAAAAACCUUACCUACCCUUGACAUGCCAGGAACUUGCCAGAGAUGGCUUGGUGCCCGAAAGGGAGCCUGGACACAGGUGCUGCAUGGCUGUCGUCAGCUCGUGUCGUGAGAUGUUGGGUUAAGUCCCGCAACGAGCGCAACCCUUGUCGUUAAUUGCCAUCAUUUGGUUGGGCACUUAACGAGACUGCCGGUGACAAACCGGAGGAAGGUGGGGAUGACGUCAAGUCCUCAUGGCCCUUAUGGGUAGGGCUUCGACACGUCAUACAAUGGUCGG
RNAcentral lists this ribosomal RNA (533 nucleotides) under uncultured bacterium. RNAcentral's name for it is "bacterial SSU rRNA". It matches the Rfam family "Bacterial small subunit ribosomal RNA", at positions 707 to 1237 of the family's 1533-position model. The record is from RNAcentral.